GCGAGCGUGGCGGAACUGGCAGACGCGCCGGGUUUAGGUCCCGGUCUCGAAAGAGGUGGGAGUUCGAGUCUCCCCGCUCGCA
RNAcentral lists this transfer RNA (82 nucleotides) under Acidimicrobiia bacterium. Its description in RNAcentral is "tRNA-Leu". It matches the Rfam family "tRNA". Rfam says of the family: Transfer RNA (tRNA) molecules are approximately 80 nucleotides in length. Their secondary structure includes four short double-helical elements and three loops (D, anti-codon, and T loops). Lineage: Bacteria; Bacillati; Actinomycetota; Acidimicrobiia. RNAcentral also lists the same sequence under 2 other names. The record is from RNAcentral.